UACGGAGGGUGCGAGCGUUAAUCGGAAUUACUGGGCGUAAAGCGUGCGCAGGCGGUUUUGUAAGCCAGAUGUGAAAUCCCCGGGCUUAACCUGGGAAUGGCAUUUGGGACUGCAAGGCUUGAGUGCGGCAGAGGAGACUGGAAUUCCUGGUGUAGCAGUGAAAUGCGUAGAUAUCAGGAGGAACACCGAUGGCGAAGGCAGGUCUCUGGGCUGACACUGACGCUCAUGCACGAAAGCGUGGGGAGCAAACAGG
This 253-nucleotide ribosomal RNA is filed under the name uncultured bacterium. RNAcentral's name for it is "partial 16S ribosomal RNA". It matches the Rfam family "Bacterial small subunit ribosomal RNA", at positions 524 to 776 of the family's 1533-position model. The record is from RNAcentral.